RNAcentral lists this non-coding RNA (24 nucleotides) under Arabidopsis thaliana (thale cress). Lineage: Eukaryota; Viridiplantae; Streptophyta; Magnoliopsida; Brassicales; Brassicaceae. The record is from RNAcentral.
UUGAGAUGUAUUAAACGAGGAUGG